This 2309-nucleotide long non-coding RNA is filed under the name Podarcis lilfordi (Lilford's wall lizard). Lineage: Eukaryota; Metazoa; Chordata; Lepidosauria; Squamata; Lacertidae. The record is from RNAcentral.
AUAUUCUAUGAAAAAAAUAAUUACAGAGAUUUAAUUUUGCAUGACUGAUGAUGUGGGAAACGUUUUACACUGAAUUUACUGGUGCCAAAUGUUGUCUUUUUAUAUUACAUGCAUUGUUUUGAUUUCAUCUUUGUUUCUGCUUGAAUGUCUCACAUAGGACAAUUAGCAGCAAUGGUUCUCUAAACAAACAUUUCAUCCUUGUUUCUAAUAUGAUAUUUAUAAAAUUGAUUGACAUAUCAAUAAUAUUAUAUGGGAUUUCCUUCAAAUGUAAAUCUAAUCUUUUUGCUUAUUGCUGCUUUCUUAUCUGUGUUUUAACACUUGUAAGUAAAUUUUUAGUCUGUUGUCCUUAGAAACGACAUACUUGAAUUAUAAUUAUAUCUUAUCUCUUUGAAUUGAUGGAGAGGAUAUAUACUAUUUAAAACUUGACACAUAUUUAAUGAUAUCAAUACUGUACAAUAUCAAUACUGAAUAUUGUGGGCAGAAAAUAAAUAAAUGUUGGGUUGUUAUCAAGUAUACAUUUGCUUUAACAGGAAAUGCUUCUGUACAAACGAGUUGGACUACCCGAUUUCUACUGAAUCUCAACCCCCCUUCCUACUAACCCCAAUCCAUUUAGGGCUCUCAUUCCCUCCAGAACACAAUGGCAUGUGGUGCAGAAGGUUGCAGCAGGUAUGGGGGGAACUGGCAAAGAAGAAGAAGAGUGUGCUCCAACUUGUGCAAGUAGAAGCAUUUUCUGCUAAGACAAACACCAUUGGAUAAAACCCAGUAUCAUGAAACAGUUUCCCUCUGCACUUCUACACACAGCUUUCACUAUCAGGACACUUAUCUGAUAUUUCAGCUAUCCAACUGAUUCAGAUAGCUGAACAGCCAGAGUUUGCCCACUUCCUUGUGUGUGUUUUACUGGUUGGCUGCAGCAGUUUCAGGCAGAAACCAGGGAGAUUGAACAAAUCAUGGAUUAGAAAUAUUUCCAUAGGAGACAAUGGAAAUCGUCAGCUCAUCGAAUGAACAAUUUCCUAGGAAUGCAUUGUGUUUUGAAAGUGGAACCUGUGUGUAUAUGCUGGUUUUCUUUUUCCAAAAAUUAUUAGACAACAGCGCAUCUAUUAUUAAGAGUAUUAACUGGUUUUCCCACUUUACAAACAUUGCACAUAGUUGGGCAGGUUGAGAAGCUUUUGUGCAGGAUUACAGUUUUGGACGAUCAAUAAAUGUGACUUCACUUGUUAUGUGAAUGAGCUCUGAGUGUGUCAAUUCACCCCCCCCCCCCAUUUUCUGGUGCAGACAUGAAGAAGAGAGAGGAAAUGUUUGCUUUCACAUUUAACUAAACUCAGUUUAGUAUUAUGACUGAACUUGAGCAAACUGUGUUUGGUCUUAACUUUGGUUUCCCAAAACAAACCAACUUCAGAGGGUAGUUUACAAAGAUGCUUGUCUCAAUAAUCCACAGAUAGCAUUACUCAGUUUAGGGCUUAGAGGUAAUGCUGAACUGUGGUUAAAUGAAAAUGAAAACCUUGCUUUGUGGAUGCAACAGAGCUUGCGUUAUGUUGGUGCAUAUACUGAAUACAGUAAUUGUCUCAAAGCUUUUAUUCUGAGCUACUUGUUCUCCAGCAUCUCUGAUAAGAACGAUAAUGAUAAAGUAGAUAUAGUUUCUGGAUGUUGAAAGGAACUAAGCCUGAGCUCCCGUUGCUCGGUCCCUGCUCCUGCCAACCUAGCAGUUUGAAAGCACGUCAAAGUACAAGUAGAUAAAUAGGUACCACUCCGGCGGGAAGGUAAACGGCGUUUCCGUGCGCUGCUCUGGUUCGCCAGAAGCAGCUUAGUCAUGCUGGCCACAUGACCCGGAAGCUGUACGCCAGCUCCCUCGGCUAAUAAAGCGAGAUGAGCGCCACAACCCCAGAGUCAUUUGCAAAUGGACCUAAUGGUCAGGGGUCCCUUUACCUUUACCUAAGCCUGUAUUAUAGAGCUCAUUCCCAACUUAAAUGAGUAUCCUUCUUCACCUCAGAAUUUUGAGUUGAUUUUCAAACUGAUGAAAUAGUCCUCCACUAACAAGCAAGAUUCAUUGGCUUGAUGCCAUAUGUCAUUCAGGAUCUAGUAAUACUUGGUGCACUUUUAAAAUUUUAUUCUGUGCAGCUUACUAACUACCAAUUAGAGCUAUACUUCAGUUCUGCAAUCUUUGUAUGGCAGGGGUAUGUGUUUGGAUCAUUAGUUAUUCAGCUUGAGUCUGCUAUUCUACCUUUAGGUUUUUCUUUUUUUAAAAAAAAAAAAACCUAACUGGGGAUUUCAUCAUCCCAUAAAAAUCUCAAUUCUUAUAUGUCUUGUUAGUU